GACGAACGCUGGCGGCGUGCUUAACACAUGCAAGUCGAACGGAAAGGCCCUGCUUUUGUGGGGUGCUCGAGUGGCGAACGGGUGAGUAACACGUGAGUAACCUGCCCUUGACUUUGGGAUAACUUCAGGAAACUGGGGCUAAUACCGGAUAGGAGCUCCUGCUGCAUGGUGGGGGUUGGAAAGUUUCGGCGGUUGGGGAUGGACUCGCGGCUUAUCAGCUUGUUGGUGGGGUAGUGGCUUACCAAGGCUUUGACGGGUAGCCGGCCUGAGAGGGUGACCGGCCACAUUGGGACUGAUACGGCCCAGACUCCUACGGGAGGCAGCAGUGGGGAAUAUUGCACAAUGGGCGGAAGCCUGAUGCAGCAACGCCGCGUGCGGGAUGACGGCCCUCGGGUUGUAAACCGCUUUCGCCUGUGACGAAGCGUGAGUGACGGUAAUGGGUAAAGAAGCACCGGCUAACUACGUG
RNAcentral lists this ribosomal RNA (466 nucleotides) under uncultured bacterium. RNAcentral's name for it is "partial 16S ribosomal RNA". It matches the Rfam family "Bacterial small subunit ribosomal RNA", at positions 28 to 507 of the family's 1533-position model. The record is from RNAcentral.